ACGACAUAUCUCGGAUUCUUCGGCUUUCGAUCGGGUGUUUCGACCGGUGUUUCUAUCGGUACGUGCAGAAGCCUGCAGUCAAGGUCCCGAAGAAAUAAAAGUAGUCGCCAACUUUUGUAUUAAUUGGAACAACUCAAAUCUUGUCAAACGUAUGAUGCGAAUGGCCCGUUACGAUUACGAUUAUGUUAUAAAUGUUGUAAUCUUGUUGGAAAUCGAUAAAGAACAACUGGAAGAAUAGACGAUGGGAUGCAUCGUGCACUUGACUCGUUCCCUACUUUCGCACAGUUACACAGUUAUAGUCUAUAUGGAAUAUUCUCGAUAAUGACCCGGAAUAAUCGAUAGAACUUAAGUCUGUACGGCAAGGAAAACCGCUUCGAUCGAUAGGAUGACACGCUCUGGUCGAUUGACCAACGAAUUAUUUAAGAACCCUCAAAAACUACGAUUGGCGGAAAUCCUAUUGACGUUAUAACGAUGUAAAGAUAGCUUGUUGUAGCCCUUCUCGAUUGCACGACGAGAUUAUUCGAUAAUGGAAAGAAUAAGUCGAUCCAUAAGAAUAUUCCGAUCAAUGUUUACGAGUAGGAUGAAAAUUGUAGCUAUAGUAAGAUAAAAAUGACAUAUUUCUUUUGAGAAUCGGCAAACGAGUCUGUUUCCUGAAAAACUCGUACAACGUUCUUCCACUAGCCGUGUAUAUACGAAGCCGCGUACUAAACUGUUCGAAGAAAAUGUGAAUAAUACAUAGUCGAACAAAGUCGAAGGUGAAUAGGCGCGAAUAAAUCAACGAUUACGUUCAAUUUUAUUGGAAUAAAUUUACAAACGGCUGGAACUUGCUUCAAAGUAUCGCGGAUUCGAGCAACGAAUCGAAUCGAGUGUAACGAAACGCUGAAUUUUCGAAAUCCGAACGUCACGCUAAAUAUAAUUGGAAUCGUCGUAUUUGCCUACUACUUAGACAUUUCGCGCGAUAACUUAUCGUUAGCGUUGGCAUGCAAUACGUACAAUGGCAUCUCUGGCAACAUCGAUCGAUCUAUUUACCAAGAAAGCAAAGGAUACGUAAAAUAUACGUAUGUAUAGGUAGAUGCAAACGUGCGAGCGAGUGACAGGGUCCGUGCACUCGAUUGGCUUUUCAAAAAUUUAUCAAUCCGCCGGAACAUGCAAUCUACGUCAAAGUAAAACGCUAUUCUCGAAAGGAGGAGACAUUCAACGGAUAUAUUAUUAUAAUUUUAAUGAAAUCCAAAUACACCUGUAUCUCACGUUUUCCAUUCAAGAGUUUUACAAGAGUAUGUGCAUAUGUUUAGUCAUAUGUUUACUGUAAACUUGCAAAUCGAUCCAUAUUUAUUAUUAUUUGUAUAUAUUUCACCUAACAAAGAUCACGAUUAUCAAUUUAUUGCGUCAGCUAAUCGAGUGUUUACGGCACAAGAGACAGACAAACGCGAUUAUCGAACGUACGACGUAAUUCUUCGUCGAAAGCAUGCGCAAGAUAUCUCGUUUAAUUUCCUCUGCGUCACUGUCUUGUUAAAGUUAUGUAAAAAUCGAUGAUUCGUUGAUAGUAUCGAACGUGUGUGGUAAGAAUGCGUGUUUAAUUGGAACUCGUUGUAGGGACUCGUCUAAAUGAUAUUUAUUUAAAACCGCUAUAUUUUCAAAAUAACGUCAAGAGAAAUUUCAUUCUCUCAAUUUUGUAUAAAAAAAAAAAUGUAGCGAACAUUGUUGACAGAAAAUCGAUAUCUGCCGGUAAGAGGAUUCCCCCGAAUAUCUAAAACAUUUAUCACAUUUCCUCGACACGCGAUGUAUAGUUGGAAAUCUUGUCGCUUGUAAAUCCUUAAUGAAGCAGUUAUAUCUUGGAGAGAAAAGGUCGCGUCAUUACAAUUUUUACACAUCUCUGGACUUUAAACCUUCCAAUAUAAGAAUAUGGAUCCACAAUCGAGAUAUAGGGAAACUACAACGGGUUCUGUGGGAAGGCCAUGGGAACAAAUUACGUACGGAGACGAGCAACAAUCUGCGCGUGAAAAGAUUCUUAGAAGCCGUACCAUUCAUAAUGAGUACAACGAAAGAUAUUCACGCAGCUACGGUGAAUAACGAUUUAGAGGGGCUGAGGGGCACAGUCGAGGCCUCGUCACCCAUCGUUCUUUGCGCCAAAGAUGGCAACGGCUUGAACGCCUUGCACAAGGCUGCUGGUUUGGGUCACACGGAAAUCGCGAGGGAAAUUCUUGGAAAAUUCCCUUUCGUUGUAGAGGCGCAGGAUAACGAUGGCAAGACGCCGUUACAUUAUGCGGCUGCGGCAAAAGACGAUGGAACGUUGUAUAAUUUGAUAACGGAAUAUGGAGCCGAUGAAAGCAAAUUAGAUCACAAACAAAAGGCGCCGGCGUUUUACAAAAAUCGGCCAUCGGAUAUCGACCAAUCGCUGUUAACCGUGAUACCGGAAGCACCUCGAGUUGCCGGAUCUUCGUAUCCCAAACACUGGGACUGGAGGAUCCUAGAAGCGGAGCAAGCUAUAUCCAAAGGAAUGAAAAAAGCCAGCAGCGCGGAUAUCGAUAGCUCAUUUGGUAGCGCGGAAUCGACAACGAAAAGCUUGAGUAGAUCUAUGGAACAAAUAAAAAAUGUCGAGGAGGAUCGCGAGAAGGAGCAACAGGGAAACGCAGAGGACACAGAAAAUCAUGAAGGUGCAGAGGAUACAGAGAACAUUAAAAAUGCAGAAGACGCAGAAGAUGCAGAAGACGCAGAAGAUGCAGAAGACGCAGAAGGCGCAGAAGGCGCAGAAGAUGCAGAAGAUGCGGCUAAUAGAGAAAGCGCUGAACCUACUGAAAAUACGGGAGAUACGGAAAAUAGAGAGGAAGAGGAGAACGCGGAACAUGCUGAAGAAUCCAAAGAACCAGAAACCACAGAAAAUAAGGAAGAACACGAGGGAGUAAAUGUCGAGGACACUGAAGAGAGGUCCUCGGACGAUGACGUGGUAACAGGUGCGGCGGUCCCAGAAACUGAGGAAAAUUCCAAUGCGGAAAACGAAGAUGCGGAAGAGUCGAAGCCAAAGGAAGUAGAUGGUGAGGAAGAGAGGAAAGAAGAAGAAGAAGAGAAAGAGGAAGAGGAGGAGGAAGGAGCCCCGAAAAUGGAAGAAGAAAGAAACGAGCCGAGUACAGGCGACUCUGGUGUUGAUGAUCCAGGGAACGACGAAGACCAGCAGGUAAUCGUCGGCGAACACGAGGAGCUUCCGGAAGCAGAAGUAAACGAGGGCAGCAUGACGGCGGACCCGGAAAUCGAGAAGCUGCUGGAGACCGGCAACAUGGAGCAAUUGGCCGCGUUAGUGUUAAGUGGCGAAGGCAGAAGACUGGUCGGCCGACAUUCGGGCAAUCCUGAGCUGCAGGCAUUCAUCGAUCGUGUCCCUUCUUACAUGGGGAAAAUUCAUGCUGUACACAUGGCAGCGCAAGAAGGAAACCUGAGAGAUCUGCAGAGCGCCUUAGAUCGGCGCAAAUUUGCGGUUGCGAGAGACGGAUCAUCGCCGCACGGUGCAACACCUCUUCACGUUGCUGUUGUAUUUGGAAACACCACCGUUAUCAGAUAUCUGGCAGGCAGGUUUCCAGAAACGGCGCAUGCGAUCGAUCUCGAUGGCCGAACUCCUUUGCACUAUGCAGCCACCAUAGCGGACAACGGCCAUUACUACAACCUUCUACUUCAUUUGGGUGCCAAUCCUUUAGUUCAAGACAAUUUGGGUCAAAAGGCGGACUAUUACAAACAAAACCAAUCGGAAUUUUCCCAUAAAUCGCUUCUCCGCGAUUUCGGAGUUAACGAGAAGCUCGCCGACGAGAUGUUGGUGGACAAAGUUCCCGGAGGCGACACGUAUUCCGCGCGUCGAGACAUUACCGAACCAGAGACCCUGGCUACCUUGGAGAGAUGUUUCCGUCUUCUGAUCGGCGUAAGACACGGUACGACGCCAAAAUCCGCUGGGAACUCCGGCACACUGAUCGGCCGUUGCCUGACGCGGCCCGUAUUCGAUCGUAUCAAGCACCGUGUGACACGCAUGGACCACAAUCUCUUUGAUGUGAUCUGGCCCGCUUUAAAAAAAUACGGUAGCUCGGCUUACAACAGCAAGGCGGGCAGCGCUUAUUCGGUGGCCAGCAACGUGGACGAGUACGAGUCUGUGUCGGUGGUAGCGCCGGACUACGAAAGUUACAUCGUGUUCGCAGACUUUUUCGACCCUUUGAUCAGGGACAUACAUUGCGUGACUGCCAGCGGUGAUCUUCCCGACCACCCUCCGCCGAGAUUCUUUUACAACGAGAACGAUGACGGCGAAGAGAAUGCCGACACGUUGGACGAAGUGACGGUGUCGGCGAUCGAGGCGUACGAUCUCGAUCCUCCGGCCAAAUACGUUCAAGCUGCUGUAAUAGAGUGUUGCAGAAAUCUGGAAAAUUACACGCUUCCCUUGACGCUUACGGUGAACCAGCUGGAAGAGGUGGAACGAGAGAUCACCGGUGAAUUGAUGAGCCAAGAGAUCUCGGCAAUGAUGGCGGAGGGUAGCAGCGAGGACGAGCCCGGAACUUACUUUACCCUCAGCGAAAUUCUGGAUCGACCGAGUUCGAUCAGGGCCCAACUAGCAGCAGCCGGUUUGCUAUUGCCUAUUACGGAUCUUGAAGUUCACGAUGACAAACGUCUUCAUGGGAAGCACUGGCCUUACGGCCGAGGAGUUUACGUCGCCUCUGCCGGUGACCUAGCCGCUUGGGUGAACGUUCAGGAUCACCUGAGGGUUAUUUGUCGCACCAGCGAGAACAGACCCGGUUUGAUCGGUCGUGGCUACGUAAGGCUGGCGAAGGUGAUGACGAUGCUCGACGAAAGAAUGAAAUUCAAGAGAGACAAGAAGCUGGGCUUCCUCGGUGCACGACCGUACGCCGUUGGCAAUACUCUUAGGUUUAACGCGAUAAUCAAGUUCCCGGAAUUGUCGAAGGAAUUCGAUCAUUUGAAGCAUCUGUGUGUAGUUCGCGGAUUAAGUAUACAAGAAACGGCGAAACGGGAUAUGGUUCGAAUCGGUAACCAGCAAUCGUUGAGUAUUACCGAGCUGCAGACCCUUCAAGAUUUCUCCAGAGCUGUUCUGAAUAUUCUGGCGUUGGAGAAGGAACUAUCGAUAAACAAUUCGUUGAAGAUUGCAACUUUGAUCGCGGGAAUUUUCCGCAAACGGAACAGUGCUAAACGUUUCCAGAAUUAAUCGUCGUGGAGAGGGGACGCUAAAGCGAUCAACGAAAGACUCUGUAUUUCCUCGUCCAUGUUAUUCAACGCUCCUAUACUAUCAAUUUCAUUCCCUCUUUUUUCCUUUUUUCUUUUUCCUUUUUUCUUUUUCCUUUUUUCUUUUUCCUUUUUCCCUUUUUCCCUUUUUCCUUCUUCCUUUUUCCUUUUCUCUUUGUUCUUUUCUCUUGAUAAUCGAAUAAUACGCUUGUACGUGAAAUCCUUCUGCGAUAAUUCCGUAUAUCGAGCCAAUACGUCGAUCGACCGUCCAUAAGCAAGCUAAAGUGGAAAGUGGAAAGUGGAAAGUCGAAAACGACAAGCCGGUUGAUAUAGCGAUAUUUCGAGAAGAAGAGGGUCGCUACUUAGCAUCGU
Molecule: RNA transcript, 5574 nt
Organism: Bombus terrestris (buff-tailed bumblebee)
Lineage: Eukaryota; Metazoa; Arthropoda; Insecta; Hymenoptera; Apidae
Exons: 12
Source: RefSeq, a predicted model, not a curated record